This 184-nucleotide small nuclear RNA is filed under the name Anas platyrhynchos platyrhynchos (common mallard). Its description in RNAcentral is "U1 spliceosomal RNA (ENSAPLG00000018916.1)". It matches the Rfam family "U1 spliceosomal RNA". From Rfam's summary of the family: U1 is a small nuclear RNA (snRNA) component of the spliceosome (involved in pre-mRNA splicing). Its 5' end forms complementary base pairs with the 5' splice junction, thus defining the 5' donor site of an intron. There are significant differences in sequence and secondary structure between metazoan and yeast U1 snRNAs, the latter being much longer (568 nucleotides as compared to 164 nucleotides in human). The record is from RNAcentral. Lineage: Eukaryota; Metazoa; Chordata; Aves; Anseriformes; Anatidae.
GCACUUGGGGCAGCAGAGACACCCUGAUCAGGCAGGUUGUUUUCCCAAGGUGAGGCUCAUCCCCUGUACACCAGGUGUGCUGGCCCCUGCAAUGUGGAGGAUAUCCGAAAUGUGGAUUCCCAAAUGUGGGAACCUUGGCUGCAUACUUUGUGGUAGUGAGGGCCUGCAUUCCCAUGUUCCCUUG